This 879-nucleotide unclassified non-coding RNA is filed under the name Hevea brasiliensis (rubber tree). The record is from RNAcentral. Lineage: Eukaryota; Viridiplantae; Streptophyta; Magnoliopsida; Malpighiales; Euphorbiaceae.
AGAAGUUCCAUACUACAAUUAUAAAAUUAAUUAGGGUCUUUUACUCCAGCCGUAUCGCUCUCUAAUUUGUUAGAGAGAGAAAAAUUCUCUCAAGUAGGUUGCUUGUUGUUUCUCUCUCGAACUUACCGAGUUCUAUUUUUCGUUAGUCCUCCUCUGCAUCCAGAUAGGGGAAGGCAUCUUUUUAGGAUUCCAUUUUGCUAUGUUUUCUAUGGUUUGUCAGGGUGAGUUAGGGCUCUCUCCCUCCCAUCUGGUGUGUUCAUAGGAUGAUUUUGUAGGUUUUUAGUAGCAAAUCUUCGAUCAUACAUGUAGAGGGUAAUUUAGUGUAGAUCUAUUAGGAGGAAGCUACUGAUUGAAACUUGGCUUGGGUUUGUGGUUUCCUUGUCACCCUUGUUCAAUGAAAGACCUUCGGUGGUUGGGAGAAGCUUGAUGGUAGGCUUCUUUAGGGAUUUGUAGAGCCAGCGUUAAAAGGGUUGCUAGCUUCCCAUGGCUAGUAUAGACUGAAAACACCAUGGCCCUUGCUUGCCUUUCUCCCAAAUCGAUGGUUGAAGCCUUGUGUUUUAUGGAUAGAGUUGAUUUGCUAGUUGAGGACCAAUGGUUCAAUCUUAGCUGAGUUGUUGUGGCUUCUUAGCGAUGGUGGAUCGCUUUAUCAUCGCCCUGACUUUCAAUGGGUCUCUUUAGCUCAUUUCACAUGAUGACGAUGUUGCUACAUGGAGAAGAAGACCCUGAUGUUGCUGUUGAAAUUUCAUCUAGAGUUAGGGUUUGAUGUAGGGGAGCUGGGCCUUGAAUUGAGCUUGAAACUAGGUAGGGGUUUUCUUAUUGUAAUUCUAGCUGUAAGCCUUGUGUAUCUUGACCCUUUAGGUGUGUUUAAUGCAAUGAAUU